This is a long non-coding RNA of Helianthus annuus (common sunflower), 404 nucleotides long. RefSeq lists it as uncharacterized. The transcript has 2 exons. The record is from RefSeq and is a predicted model, not a curated record. Lineage: Eukaryota; Viridiplantae; Streptophyta; Magnoliopsida; Asterales; Asteraceae.
AUGAGUGGUUGUGAAUGAUGAAAUUAAUGUAUUGUCAAUUGUUAUAUGGGUUAGCAUUGAUACUUGAAAGUAUUGUUUCGGAUGUAAGGACUAUGAUCUAAAUAAGAAUGAUUACGUGUAGGAUUGAAAGAAGAAGGAGCUAGUUCCGGUUCACAAGCAAAGGCUCAAGAUCAAGGUAAAACUCAAGCAUAAAUGUCAUGCCUCGCUCGGAUACGAACACACCUUGAUCACCCUUGAUGCGCUUCCGCAACUUUUGUAGAAUCUUUAAUAGUUAAAAGCUUUUGUUAAAGUUAGUUGUGUUUGAAGUUUUUAAACUUUAACUAGAUGAUUGUGAAUAUUUUAAGUACCUUAAACUUGAUGUUUUGAACGGUAGUUUGAAAUGUUAUGGUCUUUCUUAUGUUUUA